RNAcentral lists this ribosomal RNA (491 nucleotides) under uncultured bacterium. RNAcentral's name for it is "partial 16S ribosomal RNA". It matches the Rfam family "Bacterial small subunit ribosomal RNA", at positions 29 to 507 of the family's 1533-position model. The record is from RNAcentral.
GUGAACGCUGGCGGUAGGCCUAACACAUGCAAGUCGAACGGCAGCACAGUAAGAGCUUGCUCUUACGGGUGGCGAGUGGCGGACGGGUGAGGAAUACAUCGGAAUCUACUUUUUCGUGGGGGAUAACGUAGGGAAACUUACGCUCAUACCGCAUACGACCUACGGGUGAAAGCAGGGGAUCUUCGGACCUUGCGCGAUUGAAUGAGCCGAUGUCGGAUUAGCUAGUUGGCGGGGUAAAGGCCCACCAAGGCGACGAUCCGUAGCUGGUCUGAGAGGAUGAUCAGCCACACUGGAAGUGAGACACGGUCCAGACUCCUACGGGAGGCAGCAGUGGGGAAUAUUGGACAAUGGGCGGAAGCCUGAUCCAGCCAUACCGCGUGGGUGAAGAAGGCCUUCGGGUUGUAAAGCCCUUUUGUUGGGAAAGAAAAGCAGCAGGUUAAUACCCCGCUGUUCUGACGGUACCCAAAGAAGAAGCACCGGCUAACUUCGUG